This 93-nucleotide ribosomal RNA is filed under the name Escherichia coli. RNAcentral describes it as "partial 16S ribosomal RNA". The stretch from base 1 to 83 matches the Rfam family "Bacterial small subunit ribosomal RNA", at positions 1451 to 1533 of the family's 1533-position model. The record is from RNAcentral. Lineage: Bacteria; Pseudomonadati; Pseudomonadota; Gammaproteobacteria; Enterobacterales; Enterobacteriaceae. RNAcentral also lists the same sequence under 1 other name.
CGCGUACCACUUUGUGAUUCAUGACUGGGGUGAAGUCGUAACAAGGUAACCGUAGGGGAACCUGCGGUUGGAUCACCUCCUUACCUUAAAGAA